GAUGAACGCUGGCGGCGUGCCUAAUACAUGCAAGUCGAGCGAACGGACGCGAAGCUUGCUUCUCUGAUGUUAGCGGCGGACGGGUGAGUAACACGUGGAUAAUCUACCUAUAAGACUGGGAUAACUUCGGGAAACCGGCUCUAAUCCCGGAUAAUAUUUUGAACCGUAUGGUUCAAAAGUGAAAGACGGUCUUGCUGUCUCUUAUAGAUGGAUCCGCGCUGCAUUAGAUAGUUGGUAAGGUAACGGCUUACCAAGGCAACGAUGCAUAGCCGACCUGAGAGGGGGAUCGGCCGCACUGGAAGUGAGACACGGACCAGACUACUACGAGAGGGCGCAGUAGCGAAUCUGCGGCAGUGGGCGAAAGCCUGACACAGCAACGCGGCGUGAGUGAUGAAGGCCUUCGGUUCGUAAAGCUCUGUUAUUAGGUAAGAACAGAUGUGGAAGUAGCUGUGCACAUAUUGACGGUACCUGGUCAGGAAGCCACGGCUAACUACGUG
RNAcentral lists this ribosomal RNA (497 nucleotides) under uncultured bacterium. Its description in RNAcentral is "partial 16S ribosomal RNA". It matches the Rfam family "Bacterial small subunit ribosomal RNA", at positions 28 to 507 of the family's 1533-position model. The record is from RNAcentral.